GACCCCUGGAUGGAAAAUGGAUGGAUGGAUGGAAGAACAAUUAAUCUGUUGACUGUUGUGUUAUGUCACUUUUGUUAAACUAAGAUAUUAUUUGUCAAACCUUUGUACAAGUUUAAAACGAUCGCAAUGCUAAUUUCUGUUAGCUUAUCAAUGUGGUCGUCCAUUCUAUGUUAGCAUUAAGCUAGUGGCGCAAAAGCCAAAUUUUUUCCUGUAUGGUUGUAUUGUUUUUUUUUAGGUUUACACCAAACUGUAUUGUUGAUUGAACUAAGGCUGAAACGACGCGUCGACGUAGUCAACGUCAUCGAUGACGUAAAUACGUCAAUGUUGUUUUUGUGCGUCGACGCGUCGCAUAUUUACGUCACACUACCGUCAUGGCGGAGCGCAAAGCAGACGAUGCGAGCGAGGGGAAAAAAGUACGCCAAAAGUCGUCAAAAGUGUGGGGGUAUUUCAAUAAACGGCCUACUAAUGUUGUUGUAUGCACACUGUGUCGAGCGGAGGUGGUCUAUCAUAGCAGCACAACGGCUAUGAAGGAACAUUUGAAAAGAAAACACCCGACAGCGUUCUUGCCAUCACCAUCAACUAUUCUAACGUCUGCAGAGGAACUGUGGAGAGACGGCGCCGAGGAGCUGACAGCAGGGUCGGACAAAUGCCGGUCCUACCCGAGAUGGCGGCCAGGAAGCGGGGCGUGCGGCGGAGAGAAGAGGCGGGACGCACUCAGAGCGACCCACCAGCCAGCCAAGUCAGGUCCGUACACCACACACCUGCGCUCAAUCUGCUCAUCUGUUGCUGCAGCACAAAAGAGGGGAAGGAGGAAUGAUCGGGGAGAAGUAGGUGAGGGAACAACGGCAAGCAGACAACGAGCACGACGAUCGAGGACAAGAGCGAGAUGACGAACCCCCGCAGCGGACGCAAACGCCGGAAGCCGAAAGGCGUGCAGCGAUGGCAAGCAGGAAAUGCCCGCGCACUGAAAAGUGACGUGACCGAAUGGCCAGAAGAAGAUAGAAGGUUUAUUGAAAUAAUAAAUCCAAGUCAAACCUGCUAUGAUGCAUCUUGUGUCCAGUGUCACGGCAAGCCACACGGUGACGGCCGCAGGAAGUCCGCCACAGGAACAUUAUCACCAGACCUAUUUUUACUGCAACUUGCCAUGAAGAAAGAUGCGGGAGCUGAAAGCUCUAUGGAGCUGGUCGGGUGUAUGGAGAACCAGAAUGAUUGAAGACUCCGAUGGAAGCUCGUCGUAGGAUGACUGAGAGAAAUUCAUAGUGGAUAAUAUCCAUACACAACCUCAAUUGUUUUUCAUCUUUAAUUUGAAGGACUGUUUACUUAUCUGAAAAAUUCAAAGGAAACUGCACUUUUUUAAAAUGUCACCAAUCAUUUACAAUUCUUAUGUAAAAUAUAUGUUUUUAAUUGUUAUGAAUUCUAAUUAGUAAAUAAACGUGAGCAAAAAUCAGCUAACAUUGGAGUCAAUGAGAGCUCCUCUAUUAGACCCACAAAGUCCUCCAAAUAACCAUCCAAAAACUGCCAACAAUACUACAUUUACAUUUUGUGACCUGAAUAAUAACCAAGUAUUAGUGAUAUUGUUAUUAUAAGCGCAGACGUUAAGGACCUACUUUUAGCGGCGCAUUUAUCACAGAAGUAACUAGCUUAUGCUGCUAUUUUGACAUACUGAGCUGCUUUCUCGCCUAUAAGAUGGUGAAUAAUUCUAGAUUAUAAAUCAUGCUUCUCACUUAUGUAAUAGUAGGUUGUGGACAUAAACCAGAGAACUUGGUCAACUUUUAUAAACACAGGAAAUAUGUUCCUGGACACAUGAAGACUUUGAAUAUGACCAAUGUAUGAUCCUGUAACUACUUGGUAUCGGAUUGAUACCCACAUUUGUGGUAUCAUCAGAACAAAAGUAAAGUAUCAAACAACAGAAGAAUAAGUGAUUAUUACAUUUCAACAGAAGUGUGGACAGAACAUGUUAAAAGAGAAAAUAAGCAGAUAUUAACAGUAAAUGAACAAGUAGAUUAAUAAUUCAUUUUUACAGUUUGUCCUUAAUAAUGUUGACAAAAUAAUAGGUGUAUAAAUGACACAAUAUUUUGCUGCGUACGUCAGCAGACUAAUUAAGAGUCUUUGUUUGUUUACUUACUAUUAAAAGACAAGUUGUCUAGUAGGUUCACUCUUUUAUUUAAGGACUUAGCUGCAAUAACACACAUAUGUUUGAUGUACCCUAAGUUUUCUUUAUUACAAUAAAGCCAAUA
Molecule: long non-coding RNA, 2237 nt
Organism: Nerophis ophidion (straightnose pipefish)
Lineage: Eukaryota; Metazoa; Chordata; Actinopteri; Syngnathiformes; Syngnathidae
Exons: 3
Source: RefSeq, a predicted model, not a curated record